CCAACUAGACAAUAACAUACGGAGUACAUGAUAACUUCAAAUUUCUUUUUUAUUUUAAAACGGAGCAUAGAAAGAGUCCAAAUUAUAAUUUCUACCUAAACAUGACCUCUAUCUCAUCUGAUAAUCGCACGGAUUAGCUAAACGUGAGGGCUUUUUGAUGAUUGACGGAAAAAUGAGAUCUGUGGAAUCCAUAGUGGAGGAGCUACCACCGUCUUCUUCUGCAAUAAUCGCACGGAUUAGCUAAAGGUUAGGGCUUUUUGAUGAUUGAUGGAAAAAUGAGAUCUGUGGAAUCCAUAGUGGCGGAGCUACCACCGUCUUCUUUCGCAGGAGCGGUGUUCGGAGCAGGAGGCGGUGGUAGUUGGUUGUACGGUUGGCUAGUA
This 380-nucleotide long non-coding RNA is filed under the name Nicotiana benthamiana. RNAcentral's name for it is "long non-coding RNA (NBEN_LNC040809)". Lineage: Eukaryota; Viridiplantae; Streptophyta; Magnoliopsida; Solanales; Solanaceae. The record is from RNAcentral.